AGUGAACGCUGGCGGUAGGCCUAACACAUGCAAGUCGAACGGCAGCACAGUAAGAGCUUGCUCUUACGGGUGGCGAGUGGCGGACGGGUGAGGAAUACAUCGGAAUCUACUUUUUCGUGGGGGAUAACGUAGGGAAACUUACGCUAAUACCGCAUACGACCUACGGGUGAAAGCAGGGGAUCUUCGGACCUUGCGCGAUUGAAUGAGCCGAUGUCGGAUUAGCUAGUUGGCGGGGUAAAGGCCCAGCAAGGCGACGAUCCGUAGCUGGUCUGAGAGGAUGAUCAGCCACACUGGAACUGAGACACGGUCCAGACUCCUACGAGAGGCAGCAGUGGGGAAUAUUGGACAAUGGGCGCAAGCCUGAUCCAGCCAUACCGCGUGGGUGAAGAAGGCCUUCGGGUUGUAAAGCCCUUUUGUUGGGAAAGAAAAGCAGCAGGUUAAUACCCCGCUGUUCUGACGGUACCCAAAGAAUAAGCACCGGCUAACUUCGUG
Molecule: ribosomal RNA, 492 nt
Filed under: uncultured bacterium
Lineage: Bacteria
Description: partial 16S ribosomal RNA
Rfam family: Bacterial small subunit ribosomal RNA
Source: RNAcentral